Molecule: non-coding RNA, 1585 nt
Organism: Monodelphis domestica (gray short-tailed opossum)
Lineage: Eukaryota; Metazoa; Chordata; Mammalia; Didelphimorphia; Didelphidae
Source: RefSeq, a predicted model, not a curated record
GUAGCACAUCACAGGAACAUUUAGCUUUAUUUCUCCCAGACUCCAAAUUACUUCUUCAUAUAGGUAUGCUUCAUUUUAUUCAGCAGGACUACCUGGACUAUCUACUUCACAGGGCAAAUAUGAAAAUAAUCUGCUGUAAGGAGCUAAAUCUAGCUUGACGAGUUUGAGAUCAUCUUGAAAUAAUGUUGAAUAGAAAUAACGGACCUCUGGGAUCCAUCUUUGCUAUUUCACAUUUAAUGUAAAUAAGGUCUGCCUUAUUUCAUAAGAAUCAGGGCAUUAAAAUCAUAAUCAUUGUUCAACCUUUCAAGUCACUGACAGGAUGGGACAGGGAAUAAUGGAUAUCUGAGAAUCUUCAUAACACAGCUUCUGCAUUUUUCCCAGGAAUUACAGGAAGAGAGAUUUCUUUUGGCCUACCUGAUUCCUAUAAAACCAAGUACCAGAAAAGACAUCCUGAAGAAUAGCCCUUUGCAAUAAUAAAGACACUCCCAUGGUUAACCCACAGCUGCCCUCUUCCCUUUCCCCAACCAUACACCACCUCUUAUUAUUGUUUUUGUGAAUCAUAAACUGCCCUUUCUUUCACCACAGUGAUUCAUAGCCUGGAGCUGUGAUCUGAUGAGCUGUCCCACCCUGGUGCAUGGAACUUACAUCCAGGCUGGAAAAUGAGCAUCACAAGCAUGUGAUAGGCUUGUUUUCUAAUCUCUCUCUCACCCACUCAAUGCCUCUCUCCACUCGCCCAUCAUGUGAGCCCCAGCCUCAGCCCCAAGGACACUGGUAGACUGAGGCUUCCGCAGCAGCCAAAGAGCUCCCUCCUCUCUGACCCCAUGCUUACCAGGCUGAGCAAUGGAGGCGAAAAUCAAAACUCACAUUUUUGCCAGUGCAUACUCUGCAGCAGGAUGUCACCUCUUCUCUUUGAAGCAGACAGUUUGGCUUCUUUAAAGUUCCUCCUGCGUGGUGCUCUCCUACCACCAGUUCCACUGCUUGCUCAGAGGAUGUUUCCUCCACCUUUUUAAAAGGCCUGAGCUCCCUCUGUGAAGAGGGGUGGCGUCAUCACAUCCUCCCAACCACAAGCCCUGUACAUUUCCCUUUGGUGCAUGGGGCUCCUCACCCUACUUCGAGAUCCCUCCUGAGUCAGUGAAUGACCAGCCUUGGGCAAUGAGUCUCCAGCUAGGUCAGAACAUCAAGAAGGUCACUAGCAUGGACAAGGGAGAUGGAUGUGGAGGGGACUCCAAAAACUGGUGUGCAUGGUUUCCAGUGUCAUGCCUCAUUUUACCAAUGAGGAGCCUGGAAGACCCUCUGUAAGGGUUUGGGGAGGGGGUGGUUUGUAUUGAGUAUUAAACACUCAACAAGACUGAGUUAUCAUCACAACCCAAGCUCUCUCUGGCCUUCUGCUUAGGAGAAAUGCUAAUCCCUGGGGGUCACCCCAGCUCAACAGGAGGAAACACCUGUAGGCACUUCAAGCUUCACUAAACUUCACAAUGUUCCCAAUUCUUUUAAUACUGUCCUUCUGUUCCAUCCAUUUUGAAACAUAACAAGACCAUCAAAAAGAUGGUGACUUUCUGAGUAAUAAAAUGAGAUGGUUAGACAA